CCUGCAGGGCGCGGGGAGCCGGGGAGGCCGGCGGAGGGGUUCGCAGUGCAGAGGUUUCGACUCUUCCGGUUUCCAGCCGGACUCGAGGCAGAGUUCUCAGAAUUCCCCCCCGAGGGGCAGAAAGUUCGAGAGCUGCAGGCUGGGCGCCAGAGGGGGGACGGCAAAGCUGCACCCCUUUCCCCGGGACGGGGCCUGAGCGCAGGGCGGAAUGUCUGGUGAAAGGCGAUUCCCGGGAGCGAGGGAAGGGGCUUCAGGUUUCCUUGUUGGAGGAGCGGAAAGGGGCUGGGGAAAGGGGUGCGAUGAGCAGCCUCCUCGGAGAAAUGGACAGUUUAACCCACGCCCUGGCCCUGGAAAGCCCUCCGACUCGGACUUGUAACUUGGGAAGAAACCUUAAGAGGACCUGGCCCGACCACCUCCUGCUGCAGAGAAGGAGAAGAAGGCUCCGAGGGUGGACACUGCGGCCCAUCGGGGCCGGAUCUCAGCUCGCGGGCCGCCACCAGGCUCCUUAACCUCCAGCAGGUUCUCGGCCAGGAGGAGAGACCAAGAAACGGAGGUUCGGGUGUUUUAAACUGCCCAAAGUUACUCUCCCAAUAAAAGGAAGGAGUUUUGAUCUGAUCCAUUAUUGGUCGUAGUAUUGAGAGGUAAUAUCUGGUCCAAUGUCUGUGCAACUCAGGAACUUACUCAAACAGCAGUCAGUUCGUCACCUAGCCCUGUGCAAACAAUCUGAGGAAAGGGCUGCCUAAAGGCAGUCGGAUCCCAACAGAGAGAGUCUGUGAAGAUAUGGACUCCUGAGACCCAAAUCCCAGUCAAGUGCAGGAGAGAGAUGCCUACCAAUGAGU
Myotis brandtii (Brandt's bat) is the source of this 839-nucleotide long non-coding RNA. RefSeq lists it as uncharacterized. The transcript is spliced from 4 exons. Lineage: Eukaryota; Metazoa; Chordata; Mammalia; Chiroptera; Vespertilionidae. The record is from RefSeq and is a predicted model, not a curated record.